Molecule: ribosomal RNA, 253 nt
Filed under: uncultured bacterium
Lineage: Bacteria
Description: partial 16S ribosomal RNA
Rfam family: Bacterial small subunit ribosomal RNA
Source: RNAcentral
CACGUAGGGGACGAGCGUUGUCCGGAUUCAUUGGGCGUAAAGCGCGCGUAGGCGGCUCGGAAAGUCGGUUGUGAAAGCCCGGGGCUCAACCCCGGGACUGCGUCCGAAACUUCCGGGCUGGAGGCAGGUAGGGGAGAUCGGAAUUCCUGGUGUAGCGGUGAAAUGCGCAGAUAUCAGGAGGAACACCGGUGGCGAAGGCGGAUCUCUGGGCCUUGCCUGACGCUGAGGCGCGAAAGCUAGGGGAGCGAACAGG